CACGGGAGCAAUCCUGGUGGCGAGUGGCGAACGGGUGAGUAAUAUAUCGGAACGUGCCCAGUCGUGGGGGAUAACGCAGCGAAAGCUGUGCUAAUACCGCAUACGAUCUACGGAUGAAAGCGGGGGAUCGCAAGACCUCGCGCGAUUGGAGCGGCCGAUAUCAGAUUAGCUAGUUGGUGGGGUAAAGGCCCACCAAGGCGACGAUCUGUAGCCGGUCUGAGAGGACGACCAGCCACACUGGAACUGAGACACGGUCCAGACUCCUACGGGAGGCAGCAGUGGGGAAUUUUGGACAAUGGGCGCAAGCCUGAUCCAGCAAUGCCGCGUGCAGGAUGAAGGCCUUCGGGUUGUAAACUGCUUUUGUACGGAACGAAACGGUCUCUUCUAAUAAAGGAGGCUAAUGACGGUACCGUAAGAAUAAGCACCGGCUAACUACGUGCCAGCAGCCGCGGUAAUACGUAGGGUGCGAGCGUUAAUCGGAAUUACUGGGCGUAAAGCGUGCGCAGGCGGUUAUAUAAGACAGAUGUGAAAUCCCCGGGCUCAACCUGGGACCUGCAUUUGUGACUGUAUAGCUAGAGUACGGUAGAGGGGGAUGGAAUUCCGCGUGUAGCAGUGAAAUGCGUAGAUAUGCGGAGGAACACCGAUGGCGAAGGCAAUCCCCUGGACCUGUACUGACGCUCAUGCACGAAAGCGUGGGGAGCAAACAGGAUUAGAUACCCUGUAGUCCACGCCCUAAACGAUGUCAACUGGUUGUUGGGUCUUCACUGACUCAGUAACGAAGCUAACGCGUGAAGUUGACCGCCUGGGGAGUACGGGCCGCAAGGUUGAAACUCAAAGGAAUUGACGGGGACCCGCACAAGCGGUGGAUGAUGUGGUUUAAUUCGAUGCAACGCGAAAACCUUACCCACCUUUGACAUGUA
Molecule: ribosomal RNA, 920 nt
Filed under: uncultured bacterium
Lineage: Bacteria
Description: bacterial SSU rRNA
Rfam family: Bacterial small subunit ribosomal RNA
Source: RNAcentral